GACGAACGCUGGCGGCGUGCUUAACACAUGCAAGUCGAACGAUGAAGAAGAGAAACGCGAACUUCGGUUCAAAUUUCACUUCGGAUUAGUGGCAGACGGGUGAGUAACGCGUGAGCAACCUACCUCUUACAAAGGGAUAGCCUCGGGAAACCGUGAUUAAUACCAUAUGACACAUUCAUAAGGCAUCUUAAGAAUGUUAAAGCUACGGCGGUAAGAGAUGGGCUCGCGUCCCAUUAGCUAGUUGGUGAGGUAACGGCCCACCAAGGCGACGAUGGGUAACCGGGCUGAGAGGGGGAACGGUCACAUUGGAACUGAGACACGGUCCAAACUCCUACGGGAGGCAGCAGUGGGGAAUAUUGCACAAUGGAGGGAACUCUGAUGCAGCGACGCCGCGUGAGCGAUGAAGGAAUUCGUUUCGUAAAGCUCUGUUCUAUGGGAAGAAAAGGACUGUACCAUAGGAGAAAGCCCCGGCUAAAUACGUG
RNAcentral lists this ribosomal RNA (482 nucleotides) under uncultured bacterium. Its description in RNAcentral is "partial 16S ribosomal RNA". It matches the Rfam family "Bacterial small subunit ribosomal RNA", at positions 28 to 507 of the family's 1533-position model. The record is from RNAcentral.